AUCUGUUCCAAGCAAUGACACCAAGCAGCUUCCUUUUGGAAAGGUCAGUCACAGUGAGUGUUUGGGUAAAGCCUAAAGCUGUUUGUACAUGCUAAGAGACUGCAGCUUGGCUUGGGUACCCCUGGGUCUGCACCCAGCUCUCCACACCAGCUUGACUCCCUAUGAUAAUUAGCCAUCUGUCUAUAGCUCUUCAGAGAAAGGCUGUGGGAAAGGUCUCUUUCUCCCUCCAUUUCCCAGUUCAGAGAGACUUUUACAAGCAAAAACUGGGAGGAGACCAUUCUCAGCUUAGCCAACUGGAAGAAUUGGCAGAGAUAACAUCAGGAACAUGGGCAGAGUUGUACUGUACAUGUUAAACAGCUGUGUUUAUGUUUCCCCAGCUCACUCAAUGAAUGUCACUAGAGUCUCAACCAAAGGACUCCUGGGAAAGCUGCCUUCCACAUUUUUCUCUUCAGGUUUUAUUGAUUGAUUUAUGUUUAAAUGCAAGUUAGAAUGCUGAUGACUGCUGCUGAAUUGCUUAUCUGUGCUAAUGGAAGGAGAGCAGUGGGGAAUCUCACUUUAUUUUUAGCUCUCAACCUCCCACCCUCAAUGAGAUCUUCAUAUCAGUGGCCCUCAAGUGAUAUUGCUGGCCCAUUAGUUGGGUUCAGUUCUCCCUUCCAAUCUCCCUAGAAGAUAUUCAAGACUUUUUUUCUAGAACCUUUGACAUUAAGCACCCAGCCAGUGUCUUCUAGCUGAGGAUUCAAGCAGGAAGACGUGGAGGAAUUCCAAUCCAAUCCAACCCAAGAAGUAUAUAUGAAGUGCCUACUAUGUGAAAGGCAUUGUGCCAGGGACUGGGGGCACAAAGACAAAAGGAAAGACCAUCCUUGCCUUCGUGGAGUUUGCAAGAGCUAAGUUCGAAUCCUGCCUUAGACAUUUACCAUCUAUGUGACCUUCUCAGCCUCAGUCGCCUCUUCUAUAUAAUGGAGGUAAUAAUAGUACCUACCCCAUAGAAUUAGGAAUUAAUGAAGAUAAUAUAUAUGAGGCCCUUUGCAAACCUUAAAGUGCUAUCUAAAUGUUAGUUAAUGUUAAUGGAUUUUAUACUGAGCACUCUUUCCUACGACAGGCAAUGUGGUAGAAUAAUAACAGCUUUGCCCAGGUGACAGGGUUUAGGUGACUUGGAAGGAUGAGAUUAGUUGGGGCUGAGUGGUAUUGGCCAAGCAUGAAAUUAGCAAACACCUGGGCCUGAGGACUUUGACCAAUUGUUUCCACAUACAUUAUCUAACAUACUUUCUCAUCUUUCAGUCCCAAACUUGGAAAUCUGAAAACCCAAACCUCCCUUUUCCUAGAUCCUUCUUCCAUUUGGUCAUGAAUCUCUGGGCUUGAGUCUGCAACAGACUUCGGCUCUUGGCACAUUCCAGCUUUCAGGUCAGGCUUAACCAUUUCCCUUCCUUCCCCAUUCUCAGAUGGCAGAGGGGUCAGCCCACAUCAAGAACCCUUCCAAACCACAUGACCUACCUAAUCCUCCUUCAGAUCUUCCCAGAGACCAGGUUCUAGAGCUGAGGUUCUUAGAUUUCAGAGGGUCCAUGAACUUGUAUAGGAAAAAAAUGGCGUUUUUAUUUUUACUAACCUCUAGCUGAAAUUUAGCUUUUCCUUCAUUUAUGAAUGGAGGCAACAAAUCACAAUAGCAUUGGGCUAUACCAGGCUACCAAAGGGGUCUGUCAUAGGCUAAGAAACUCUGCUAUAAAGGACAGCAUAAUCUUGUUGCACUCCCAGCAAACCCCUCAUUGCUGAUUGCCAUGAAACUGAAUGCCCACACCAGCACUCUUCAGAGGCAGCUUUCUGCGACAGCUAGGCACCUAGCUACCUGUACAGUGAAUAAAAUGCUGAAUUUGCAAUCA
Molecule: long non-coding RNA, 1874 nt
Organism: Phascolarctos cinereus (koala)
Lineage: Eukaryota; Metazoa; Chordata; Mammalia; Diprotodontia; Phascolarctidae
Source: Ensembl